UCAACAUGGCUGCUUAAUGCCAUUUACAAAUAGAUUGAGGUUAAUUUGGACAUUUAACAUUAAUUAUCAAUGCUACUUACAUGUCUUUUAGUAGUUUAUCUAUAUCUCUACGUGGCUAUAUUGCGUAUAACUUUCAAAGAAUUCUUGUUGCGUAUUCUAGUUAAGAGUUAGUUUCCUUUUCAAUUGCUUUGAACUCCUCUUUGAAAAGUAUUAUCUUCUGAUAUGAUAUGAUGCUGGAAUCGGAUUUCAAAUCAUUGGAGCUCAUACAGAUUAAGAGGAGCUGUUAGACCGAGCAAGGGUUCAAAUUUAUCUCUUCGAAAGGGUUGAACACUGUGAAGUCCACAGGAAAUUUUAAGCAAUUUUGUGAUGAAUUAACAAAUGGUAGGACUAUGAGUGAGAAACUUCUAGAAGUGGUAGCAAUGGUUAAUGAGCCGUCAAACUGAUCAUUUACUAACACUGAAAGCAAUUAAUAAAAUAAAAAGGAGCCUGUUCAUUGUUGCCUAUAUUCUUCGGCAACUUGGGUUCUUGAUUAUGUUCGGCGAAAACUCGGAAUUGAAUAUGUGAUGCAACAAUUGCUGGAAAUACAAUUUAUGAGAUAUUCUUGGUACUUUUGCAGUAACAGUUCUGGUGCUCUAAGGAGGAGUGCCUUUCUUUGCUUGCGUUUACUUCUUCAUGAAAAUGUAAAAGACUCAUCUUUUACCUUUUGAAUUUUUUUAGACUUUAAAAUCAUGUUAUAUACUAUUGAUAUGCAGGACUUCGUUCACAUGGUGAUGGAUACAAUACUGAUUUCGGAAAAUCUGAAGGUCGAUGGGGAGAAUGUAUCACCUGCCAACCGUACAAAAUUCAUAACUGAAUCUUUUGUUCUAAAACAUUGUAAAUAAUAUUCAACCAUUAGCAUGUGCGAAUUUCCUUUUCAAUCUACCUCGUGGUUGAGAGAAAUACACCUGACUCGAUUAGUGCCACUACAACUUGAAAAUGCUAUGCAACAUUAUGUCUAAUAAUAUG
Molecule: long non-coding RNA, 1005 nt
Organism: Lycium barbarum (goji berry)
Lineage: Eukaryota; Viridiplantae; Streptophyta; Magnoliopsida; Solanales; Solanaceae
Exons: 2
Source: RefSeq, a predicted model, not a curated record